This 427-nucleotide ribosomal RNA is filed under the name uncultured bacterium. RNAcentral describes it as "bacterial SSU rRNA". It matches the Rfam family "Bacterial small subunit ribosomal RNA", at positions 355 to 775 of the family's 1533-position model. The record is from RNAcentral.
UCGAGAAUUUUUCUCAAUGGGGGAAACCCUGAAGGAGCGACGCCGCGUGGAGGAUGAAGGUCUUCGGAUUGUAAACUCCUGUCAUUGGUGAACAAAGUCACAAGUUAACUGCUUUGUGAUAUGCUAGUAGCCGAAGAGGAAGGGACGGCUAACUCUGUGCCAGCAGCCGCGGUAAUACAGAGGUCCCAAGCGUUGUUCGGAUUCAUUGGGCGUAAAGGGUGCGUAGGCGGUGGGGUAAGUUGGAUGUGAAAUCUUGAGGCUUAACCUCAAAAUUGCAUUCAAUACUGCUCCGCUCGAGUUCUGUAGAGGAGAUUGGAAUUUACGGUGUAGCAGUGAAAUGCGUAGAUAUCGUAAGGAACGCCAGUGGCGAAAGCGAAUCUCUGGGCAGCAACUGACGCUGAGGCACGAAGGCCAGGGGAGCAAACGG